Prionailurus viverrinus (fishing cat) is the source of this 696-nucleotide long non-coding RNA. RefSeq lists it as uncharacterized. NCBI's taxonomy places the organism in Eukaryota, Metazoa, Chordata, Mammalia, Carnivora, Felidae. The record is from RefSeq and is a predicted model, not a curated record. The transcript is spliced from 3 exons.
CUCCAGACUAGCAUGUGCACCAUGUGAUGCUGGGGUUGCCAUGACAUUUUGCAGGCAAGAAAUUCCGGGUGUGCUGAAAUUUGUGAAAAUCUGAAGACAUCAUUGCGAAUUUUGCGUAAAAGCUGCCCCGAGAACUGGAUCGUGGGUUUGGAGACUUUGUGGUCCCUCGUGAGCGCUCAGAGGUCCUCUUGACUCUUCACAGUAUCACCAGAUGGUGGUGUUCAUUCAGACAGACAUCAUCCUUCUCCUUCACCUGUUUGGUCUAGUCUAACCCUGUGAAGGAAAUUUCAUCAUGAGUCAGGAGAAAUUCAGCACGGCAUGUAUUAUUGGUAUUGUGAUUUGAGUGGCAACCGACCAACACUUAGGGAACAAUUUAUCUACCUGAAUUGGACUAGACAUCACUAAUGCACAUGGCAGAUUGAUUGUACAGCUUUAGUGGACGUAUUCUUUAUUAAUGAGAUUCAGCAUGAUUUGCUAAAAAGGCUUUUACUGGGCAGUCGUUUUGUGUCCCCUCCCCCAUUUCUCUUUAGCCUAUUUAAUCUUGUUGAACCUUGCACUAUGUUUUGAGACUGUUUUUCCUCUCUACUUUUAUUUGAAAUACCAAGGCUUUUAAAUAAUUGUGCACAAACUGAACACAGUGCACACACACACACACACACACACAAGCUAGAUUGUAAUCAAUAUUAUAAAACAUAC